CAUUAGGGCUCCAAAUUGGGUGAUUCAAAAGGAAAAAUUGUGAGGUUUUUCGUGGAGAACGCAUUGGAGAGAUUGAGAACUGAUUUGGAGCAUUCGAUUCAGGGCCUAAAUUCAAGAGCAUUUCGUGAGGAAUCUUUUGGUAAUCUCAGAAACGCGAGGAGAAGCUUCGUUUGAGGACCAAGCACCAGCUAUCGCCAUGAAUAAAUCGAGCCUGUUGCAGUCAACUUCGGAGACUAGGGUGAGUACUUGGUGUUUUUAGAUCAUUCCUGUCUCCUUCAGCAUGGAUGACCCGUCUUUUGCCUUCUGAGACUAGCCAGUUGUUAUAUAUAUUUUCGGCCCACUUUCGAAACUUGUACUCGUAUUUUAUUUUGUAGCAGCUCUGUAUUUGUGACUUCCAGA
Solanum dulcamara is the source of this 399-nucleotide long non-coding RNA. RefSeq lists it as uncharacterized. Lineage: Eukaryota; Viridiplantae; Streptophyta; Magnoliopsida; Solanales; Solanaceae. The record is from RefSeq and is a predicted model, not a curated record. The transcript has 3 exons.